UGAGUAAUGCCUAGGAAAUUGCCCUGAUGUGGGGGAUAACCAUUGGAAACGAUGGCUAAUACCGCAUGAUGCCUACGGGCCAAAGAGGGGGACCUUCGGGCCUCUCGCGUCAGGAUAUGCCUAGGUGGGAUUAGCUAGUUGGUGAGGUAAGGGCUCACCAAGGCGACGAUCCCUAGCUGGUCUGAGAGGAUGAUCAGCCACACUGGAACUGAGACACGGUCCAGACUCCUACGGGAGGCAGCAGUGGGGAAUAUUGCACAAUGGGCGCAAGCCUGAUGCAGCCAUGCCGCGUGUGUGAAGAAGGCCUUCGGGUUGUAAAGCACUUUCAGUCGUGAGGAAGGCGGUGUAGUUAAUAGCUGCAUUAUUUGACGUUAGCGACAGAAGAAGCACCGGCUAACUCCGUGCCAGCAGCCGCGGUAAUACGGAGGGUGCGAGCGUUAAUCGGAAUUACUGGGCGUAAAGCGCAUGCAGGUGGUUUGUUAAGUCAGAUGUGAAAGCCCGGGGCUCAACCUCGGAAUUGCAUUUGAAACUGGCAGACUAGAGUACUGUAGAGGGGGGUAGAAUUUCAGGUGUAGCGGUGAAAUGCGUAGAGAUCUGAAGGAAUACCGGUGGCGAAGGCGGCCCCCUGGACAGAUACUGACACUCAGAUGCGAAAGCGUGGGGAGCAAACAGGAUUAGAUACCCUGGUAGUCCACGCCGUAAACGAUGUCUACUUGGAGGUUGUGGCCUUGAGCCGUGGCUUUCGGAGCUAACGCGUUAAGUAGACCGCCUGGGGAGUACGGUCGCAAGAUUAAAACUCAAAUGAAUUGACGGGGGCCCGCACAAGCGGUGGAGCAUGUGGUUAAAUUCGAUGCAACGCGAAGAACCUUACCUACUCUUGACAUCCAGAGAACUUUCCAGAGAUGGAUUGGUGCCUUCGGGAACUCUGAGACAGGUGCUGCAUGGCUGUCGUCAGCUCGUGUUGUGAAAUGUUGGGUUAAGUCCCGCAACGAGCGCAACCCUUAUCCUUGUUUGCCAGCGAGUAAUGUCGGGAACUCCAGGGAGACUGCCGGUGAUAAACCGGAGGAAGGUGGGGACGACGUCAAGUCAUCAUGGCCCUUACGAGUAGGGCUACACACGUGCUACAAUGGCGCAUACAGAGGGCAGCCAACUUGCGAAAGUGAGCGAAUCCCAAAAAGUGCGUCGUAGUCCGGAUUGGAGUCUGCAACUCGACUCCAUGAAGUCGGAAUCGCUAGUAAUCGUGGAUCAGAAUGCCCCGGUGAAUACGUUCCCGGGCCUUGUACACACCGCCCGUCACACCAUGGGAGUGGGCUGCAAAAGAAGU
RNAcentral lists this ribosomal RNA (1324 nucleotides) under Vibrio parahaemolyticus. RNAcentral describes it as "bacterial SSU rRNA". It matches the Rfam family "Bacterial small subunit ribosomal RNA", at positions 107 to 1427 of the family's 1533-position model. The record is from RNAcentral. Lineage: Bacteria; Pseudomonadati; Pseudomonadota; Gammaproteobacteria; Vibrionales; Vibrionaceae.